UGAUCAUGGCUCAGAUUGAACGCUGGCGGCAGGCUUAACACAUGCAAGUCGAGCGGAGAGAGGUAGCUUGCUACUGAUCUUAGCGGCGGACGGGUGAGUAAUACUUAGGAAUCUGGCUAUUAGUGGGGGACAACAUUUCGAAAGGGAUGCUAAUACCGCAUACGUCCUACGGGAGAAAGCAGGGGAUCUUCGGACCUUGCGCUAAUAGAUGAGCCUAAGUCGGAUUAGCUAGUUGGUGGGGUAAAGGCCUACCAAGGCGACGAUCUGUAGCGGGUCUGAGAGGAUGAUCCGCCACACUGGGACUGAGACACGGCCCAGACUCCUACGGGAGGCAGCAGUGGGGAAUAUUGGACAAUGGGGGGGAACCCUGAUCCAGCCAUGCCGCGUGUGUGAAGAAGGCCUUAUGGUUGUAAAGCACUUUAAGCGAGGAGGAGGGUACUGGCAUUAAUACUACCAGGUACUGGACGUUACUCGCAGAAUAAGCACCGGCUAACUCUGUGCCAGCAGCCGCGGUAAUACAGAGGGUGCGAGCGUUAAUCGGAUUUACUGGGCGUAAAGCGUGCGUAGGCGGCUAAUUGAGUCGGAUGUGA
Molecule: ribosomal RNA, 590 nt
Filed under: uncultured bacterium
Lineage: Bacteria
Description: bacterial SSU rRNA
Rfam family: Bacterial small subunit ribosomal RNA
Source: RNAcentral